RNAcentral lists this ribosomal RNA (1112 nucleotides) under Metabacillus galliciensis. RNAcentral's name for it is "bacterial SSU rRNA". It matches the Rfam family "Bacterial small subunit ribosomal RNA", at positions 342 to 1444 of the family's 1533-position model. Lineage: Bacteria; Bacillati; Bacillota; Bacilli; Caryophanales; Bacillaceae. The record is from RNAcentral.
CGGGAGGCAGCAGUAGGGAAUCUUCCGCAAUGGACGAAAGUCUGACGGAGCAACGCCGCGUGAGUGAUGAAGGCCUUCGGGUCGUAAAGCUCUGUUGUUAGGGAAGAACAAGUACCGUUCAAAUAGGGCGGUACCAUGACGGUACCUAACCAGAAAGCCACGGCUAACUACGUGCCAGCAGCCGCGGUAAUACGUAGGUGGCAAGCGUUGUCCGGAAUUAUUGGGCGUAAAGGGCUCGCAGGCGGUUCCUUAAGUCUGAUGUGAAAGCCCACGGCUCAACCGUGGAGGGUCAUUGGAAACUGGGGAACUUGAGUACAGAAGAGGAGAGUGGAAUUCCACGUGUAGCGGUGAAAUGCGUAGAGAUGUGGAGGAACACCAGUGGCGAAGGCGACUCUCUGGUCUGUAACUGACGCUGAGGAGCGAAAGCGUGGGGAGCGAACAGGAUUAGAUACCCUGGUAGUCCACGCCGUAAACGAUGAGUGCUAAGUGUUAGAGGGUUUCCGCCCUUUAGUGCUGCAGCAAACGCAUUAAGCACUCCGCCUGGGGAGUACGGUCGCAAGACUGAAACUCAAAGGAAUUGACGGGGGCCCGCACAAGCGGUGGAGCAUGUGGUUUAAUUCGAAGCAACGCGAAGAACCUUACCAGGUCUUGACAUCCCAUGACAACUCUAGAGAUAGAGCGUUCCCCUUCGGGGGACAUGGUGACAGGUGGUGCAUGGUUGUCGUCAGCUCGUGUCGUGAGAUGUUGGGUUAAGUCCCGCAACGAGCGCAACCCUUGAUCUUAGUUGCCAGCAUUUAGUUGGGCACUCUAAGGUGACUGCCGGUGACAAACCGGAGGAAGGUGGGGAUGACGUCAAAUCAUCAUGCCCCUUAUGACCUGGGCUACACACGUGCUACAAUGGAUGGUACAAAGGGCUGCGAGACUGCGAAGUUAAGCGAAUCCCAUAAAACCAUUCUCAGUUCGGAUUGCAGGCUGCAACUCGCCUGCAUGAAGCUGGAAUCGCUAGUAAUCGUGGAUCAGCAUGCCACGGUGAAUACGUUCCCGGGCCUUGUACACACCGCCCGUCACACCACGAGAGUUUGUAACACCCGAAGUCGGUGGAGUAACCGUAA